UGCAAGUACUUAGCUAACAAAAAAAAAAACAAANCCCCCCAAAAAAAAACCCCAAAAAAUAUAGGCUGAGUGAAACAGCAGGAGCCUGGUAGAAGCAGCCCCCAGUCCUAUUUAACCUGUGCUCACUAGAGUCUUUGCAUAAAACUGUCUCUGUUUGGACAGCCCAGGAGCAGGUUAACAGCCAAUAUAAACACCUCAAAUUUGUGCUGUAACACUCCCUAACUCAUGUUGUUCUAGCUAAAAAGGGAUCUAUAUUUUCCAGACUAUGAAUAUACCAUGUACUUUUGAGCAUCAAGGUCAAACUGUGAUCACAUCAGUGAAGCCCAGCAAAUGAUGGUCAGCCAAUAUUCACAAUUCAUGGAAAUGAAAAUGCUGAAUUACCAGAGACUUGCUUAAAGAGGAAAAGCUACAAGAAAAUUCAGAGCUGCUGGAAACACAUAUAUGUACAUAUAAAUAUGUUCAACCCUUUGGGUGUUAUUAGAGUGGAAAUAACAUCUAGAAUAUGUUAAAUCUCUGUGCAAUGAAGGAAAGGGUUCAUGCAUUUUUUAAUAGGAAAUGACAGAGGGCAUUUCAUCCCUGCAGAACCAUGUUGUUUUUACUUAAGCUAGUUUUAAAACAGGUAGUUUAGCUGCUGGUUAGUGGAGAGCUCAGAAGACACUGAAAAAACAAAGCAUUUACUUUGUUUUCUUCAAGUGUGAUGGGAGGUGUUUUAGCUCACAGUGACCUCCUCCACAUGACUGACAUCUGUGUCAGCUCAAGCUGCUUGAUCAACUGAUGAUAGAAAAAUCAGGAAGGAUGUAUUGAGAAUUUUCACACCAAGCACAACUUAGAUGCUCAAAGGCUUAAAAUAUUUGAUCUUUUGACCACUGGCAUGAAGCAGUGAUUACUUGAAUUUUUUUGAGACAGUGUCCUAACAGGUGGGACUGAAAGUCUUAAAUAUGUGAAAAAAAAUAAUGUACAUGGCUGCCAGACAGCUCAUCCAAAACCGUUGGAGACACAGUAAAGACAGCAUUUAGCUUGCUCAAAGUUCUAGAUAUUAGAGACAGAAUUGAUUGUAAUGAAUGAAAUUUGCUUAAAGCAUUAAAGAAUAUGUUGAUUCCUAUCUGUGCUGUUUUCAAAUUCACCCCUUAUUGGAGAUGAUUA
Cyanistes caeruleus (blue tit) is the source of this 1143-nucleotide long non-coding RNA. NCBI's taxonomy places the organism in Eukaryota, Metazoa, Chordata, Aves, Passeriformes, Paridae. The record is from Ensembl.